CACGCACACACACGCACUUCCACACACCAGGUGUGACUGACCCCGUGGCCCAUAUUUCACGAGCUUUCACAUAUGCUGAGCCCCGGGAGGACACAGAAACCCUCAAUGACACUCGUGAUUUGGGUUUCAAUGCUUCUCUUCUUCUGCCAGACUCCAGGGGCCUCGCCCCGACUCCAUCCUCCGGCACGGAAUUCAGAGAGCCUCAUACGCGCAAGGUUCUGGACGAGACACUGUAAAAGUCCUGGGAUAAUGAGAGGACGUGAGGCCCUCCCUCUAGGAGCUUACAAACCUAAGAAAACAACACUCGGGAAGGCACACGUGGUCAGUUCUCAUUUAUCUGCACCUGGAGACAUGGCAAAUAAGGAGGCAAAUAAAUAAUCAAACCAUCA
Molecule: long non-coding RNA, 389 nt
Organism: Ornithorhynchus anatinus (platypus)
Lineage: Eukaryota; Metazoa; Chordata; Mammalia; Monotremata; Ornithorhynchidae
Exons: 2
Source: RefSeq, a predicted model, not a curated record